GGUGGCUCAGUGGCAGAGCGCUUGCCUUGUAUGCAUGAGGCCCUGGGUUCAAUUCCUCAGCACCA
This 65-nucleotide transfer RNA is filed under the name Dipodomys ordii (Ord's kangaroo rat). It matches the Rfam family "tRNA". Rfam says of the family: Transfer RNA (tRNA) molecules are approximately 80 nucleotides in length. The record is from Rfam by way of RNAcentral. Lineage: Eukaryota; Metazoa; Chordata; Mammalia; Rodentia; Heteromyidae.